Long non-coding RNA from Uranotaenia lowii, 807 nucleotides. RefSeq lists it as uncharacterized. The record is from RefSeq and is a predicted model, not a curated record. The transcript is spliced from 3 exons. NCBI's taxonomy places the organism in Eukaryota, Metazoa, Arthropoda, Insecta, Diptera, Culicidae.
CUACUCAGCUGAAAUUUUAAGUUCUUAUUGAUUCUUUCAAGUUCCAUAAACAAAGCUGAGUAGAAGGCUAUUCAGCUUCAAAUGAAACUUUAAAAAAAAAUCUUGCAAAAAUAAAGCGUUCUAAAGUAGUUUUAUACUUUUAAUUAUGAUUAUCUUUAAUCUUUAUUUAUUAUUUAUAUUUGUUUCUAUUUUCAACAAUUUUAAACUUACUUGAAAAAUUUUCCUGCAUGGAGAUUUGAACCUGAACCUGUGGAAUGAAAGCUGAGCACGUUACCUUUGGACCAUGGCCGUUUUCUGAUUCAAUGGUAUUUAAAACAUCUAUUUGAAAUAAUUUACGGGUUAUCCUUUUAAAAGUAGGCCAGAUGAAAAAUAGUAAACAAUCAGCUUCUAAAAGUAAAAACAAAAGUUGUGAAACGAGGGCUGCCGUACGAAAUAAAUUAUCCUUGCCAUCAAUUUUGCACACCAUGAAUUGAUAAUCUCCGUGUGAGUCGUAUCCGCAACAUUUAAAUUUGAACUUCAAAAAAGGAAUAUACCUACAAAAUAUGUGGACCGUGAACAAGCCGCUGCCAUUUCUGUUACAAUACAAUCCAAUUUUGCAGAACUGCAAAGAAGAACUGCAGAAACAGAGUCUACAGGAGGAAAUUAUUGGCUGAUACCAGAAAACAAAAUUUAAGAAAAUUAUCAAAAUUGUUCGAUUUUUACGGCAAAUCGUCGCAUUCAACAUGGAAAAAUAAUGAGCUAAAUCGACCCACAUUUCCUAAGGAUCCAUCGACCCGUCGAAAUAAUCUGCCUUUGAUGUUUGUUCGA